This 263-nucleotide ribosomal RNA is filed under the name uncultured bacterium. RNAcentral describes it as "partial 16S ribosomal RNA". It matches the Rfam family "Bacterial small subunit ribosomal RNA", at positions 793 to 1055 of the family's 1533-position model. The record is from RNAcentral.
GUCCAUGCCUUAAACGAUGUAUACUAGGAGUAGGGAGGCUCAACCCUUUCUGUUCCGGAGCUAACGCAUUAAGUAUACCGCCUGGGGAGUACGCUCGCAAGGGUGAAACUCAAAAGAAUUGACGGGGGCCCGCACAAGCAGUGGAGCAUGUGGUUUAAUUCGAUGCAACGCGAAGAACCUUACCUGGGCUCGAAAUGUAGAGGGAUAUAUCAGAGAUGAUAUAGCCCGAAAGGGCCUCUAUAUAGGUGCUGCAUGGCUGUCGU